UACGUAGGGUGCGAGCGUUGUCCGGAAUUAUUGGGCGUAAAGAGCUCGUAGGCGGUGUGUCACGUCGGCCGUGAAAACCUGCAGCUUAACUGUGGGCGUGCGGUCGAUACGGGCAUCACUGGAGUUCGGCAGGGGAGACUGGAAUUCCUGGUGUAGCGGUGAAAUGCGCAGAUAUCAGGAAGAACACCCGUGGCUAAGGCGGCUCUCUAGUACGGUACUGACGCUGAGACGCGAAAGCGUGGGGAGCGAACAGG
RNAcentral lists this ribosomal RNA (254 nucleotides) under uncultured bacterium. RNAcentral describes it as "partial 16S ribosomal RNA". It matches the Rfam family "Bacterial small subunit ribosomal RNA", at positions 524 to 776 of the family's 1533-position model. The record is from RNAcentral.